This 479-nucleotide ribosomal RNA is filed under the name Sesamia sp. SETAG6580. RNAcentral's name for it is "partial 16S large subunit ribosomal RNA". The record is from RNAcentral. Lineage: Eukaryota; Metazoa; Arthropoda; Insecta; Lepidoptera; Noctuidae.
UGUCUUUUUGAAAAUAAUAUAAAGUCUAAUCUGCCCACUGAUUUAUAAUUGAAGGGCUGCAGUAUUUUGACUGUACAAAGGUAGCAUAAUCAUUAGUCAUUUAAUUGAUGACUUGUAUGAAGGAUUGGAUGAGAUAUAAACUGUCUCUUAUUUAUAUAAUAUAGAAUUUAAUUUUUUAUUUAAAAAGUUAAAAUAUAUUAAAAAGACGAGAAGACCCUAUAGAGUUUUAUAGUUAAAUUUAAUUAGGAUUAUUUGUAUUAAAAAUUAAAAUUAAUUUAAUUAUUGUAUUGGGGUGAUAAAAAAAUAUAAAAAACUUUUAUAUAUUAUUAAAACAUUGAUAAAUGAUUAGAUGAUCCAAUAUUAUUGAUUAUAAGAAAAAAUUACCUUAGGGAUAACAGCGUAAUUUUUUUUUUUAGUUCAUAUAAGAAAAAGAGUUUGCGACCUCGAUGUUGGAUUAAGAUAAAAUUUAAAUGUAGAAG